RNAcentral lists this ribosomal RNA (269 nucleotides) under uncultured bacterium. RNAcentral's name for it is "partial 16S ribosomal RNA". It matches the Rfam family "Bacterial small subunit ribosomal RNA", at positions 333 to 599 of the family's 1533-position model. The record is from RNAcentral.
UGCUACCUACGGGGGGCAGCAGUGAGGAAUAUUGGUCAAUGGGCGAGAGCCUGAACCAGCCAAGUCGCGUGAGGGAAGAAGGUACAGCGUAUCGUAAACCUCUUUUGUCAGGGAACAAAGGCGGGGACUAGUCCCCGGAUGAGGGUACCUGAAGAAAAAGCAUCGGCUAACUCCGUGCCAGCAGCCGCGGUAAUACGGAGGAUGCGAGCGUUAUCCGGAUUCAUUGGGUUUAAAGGGUGCGCAGGCGGGCCUUUAAGCCGGCGGUGGAA